CGUUCUAAUCUGCAUAGAAGCUAGAAGUUUAAAACAAGAGCUUCAAAACAAGAGCGAGCUUACCGGAGUGUUAGUUCUGACAUUCCAGAUCCGCAAGGUGCUAUCAGUCGAUGCGGACACGAGCUCCUCCGGCGUGAUGAACUUCACGUACGAGACGGUCUUUUGGUGGCCGCUAAAGGUGUGGACUGGCGAAGCAGGAGAGCGCAAAUCGUAGUAAUGUAUGCGGUGAUCGGCCGAUCCAACCUGCAAAUGCUUGGAAAUGAAUAAAACACCACUGUACCAAACCGAUAACUCACAAGAGAUAGAAAAAGAGUACCGCUACAAAAUUGCUGGAGCUGGGAUUGAACUUGACGCAGCAGAUGUUGGCUUUCAUGUCGAUUCCCAUGACGCUGCUCUCCUGUCGAGUAGACCACACUUUGAGCUGCAAGUUUUUCUCAAAGUUAGAUGGAAACAAAGAAUUUUCAAAAAGAUACGUUCUAACCUUGCCAUCGUCACUGCCAGAAACAAGUAAAUUGGGAUCGGUUCUAGCAAAAUCGACACUCCACGCUCGCUUGGCAUGCUCUUCGUACUCCAUGAUACUCUGAAAUCAAGAUAGGAACGGAAGCUCUCGCCCGUCUCACUAGGAUCUUGUGAUUGCUUUCGCUUUUGCAAAUAACAAUCUUGCAGGUCUUCAAAAUGUGCACCACACACAGAGGAAGUUGGCCGACUGUUACAAUCAAGAAAUCCAAGGAGCAUACCUGAGAAAGCACUCGCCUCUUUUUCGAAAGAACCUCACUUUCUCUCACUCCAGACGUUCCCUCGUCAUCAGUUUGCGCUCGCUUAAGACGAGCUUUUUCUCCAUCCGGGGAGCUCCCUUCCGCUUCGGACGCCUUGACACGACAGCGAGAGCUAGGAAGCUUUUGGUGAACAGGCGACGCAUGACGUUCUUUGGAUUUCUUCAAACUAGUCGCCUGCUUUUCAACAGCAGCAAUGUCUUCCUUGAGCCAUUGCAGGUCUGUUUGUAUCUGAACGAAGAAAACGUCGUGAGUAAGAUCACAGGUCCGGAGUUCUCACCUCGUUUAACUCUUGCUGCUUCUGUUGCCUCGACCGCUGCAAGAAAUCAUGCAAGACCUCCAAAUUUGUUUCAGUCAACAAACUCAAAAGUGUAUCGAUGUCUUUCAUCGAGAUGUCUGCUCCCUGAGAAUCACAAACAAAACAUCAGCACUAUAACUAAAAACCAAACUUUUCGACAAAAAAGACCUGUUUGAGAGCAAGCCGCAGGUGCUCUCCCGGUGACGUAGAGCUGGCAACUUGGCACACACUCGCCUUCCUCAAAUCUCCAACAGAGGAAACCAUGGAACAUCAAACUUCCGAGCAAGAUGGCAAAACAAAUCGAAGGUACCUUGUUGAGAAGGAAAUUCGGGUAGAGCUGGCCGCUGGUCAAGUAAGCUCCACAGCAGGGACAGUUGCUCUUGAUGUUUAGAUGCGUCAUGAUGCACAGCUGUGGCCGCAGCUCGUCAAAAACGCGUCUUUGAUCGUCUGGAUGCAUAUCGGGCACAGGAAAUCCCUGUCGAGCUCGAGAUUGUAGCUGGAGGCCUCGGUUCUCGUCCCACACACGGAUGGAACUUGGGCAGCGUCAGAGGAGCGAGCUUGCAUCUCCGUGAGCCUCUAUCAUUCUCUCGCCUUAAUAGGACGAACUUACAAGACCCCGCGCUUCUUCUUUUCUGCCUUCUUCGUCUUCUCGCCCGUCCCGCUCUAGGGAUUAUUGUUGUGUGAGAGAGCGAGGAAUGUCGGGCAUAUUCUAAGGGUGAUUACGUGGCCGGCCGUGAUUGGAGGACAUCUCAGGUCGGUAAGAAGCCACGAUAAGGGCCAUCCCGCCGUCCAGGCCCACGUGGUGUCUACCAGCUUCAACUUCGUCAAACCAACCAAGAGUCAAGUCAAUGCGUAGAGAUGAUGGUGUGAAAUGUGCUCCGGAAUAUGCUCUCUAGCUUUUGACGAUCGUCUCGGCCUCGGCGGAUGGCUCCAUAGCUCUCAUGGACCUGAGGCACGUCAUGAGGAAAGGAAGCAUCAAGUCGAGAGCAGCGGCCACGGUGAAGCGCCCCUACAAAAUGAAAGGAGACACUGCGCAAAGGAUGCUGUCCAGCGGUGGCUCUUGCGCUUACUCAGUGGACUUGGCUCGGACAGGAUUGUGAGUGCCGGGGAGGGGACGGCGAUCAAGGUCUGGGACUUCUCCCAGGCUCUCGAGUUUGAGAAGAAAACACAGGCGCUUCGAAGCGUCCGGAGAGAGCAGAGAGCUCAGCGGAAGCUCGCGAUUAAGAACAGGAGAAAGGAAUGACUGCCAGGAACUUCGGUUCAGGGAUAAAGGGGAUCGACUACACAAAGUUGGUAACGCUCGAUAUCGAUCUCAACUCACCGACAUUAUUUCAAAACAAAAUGGUCUUGAAGAUCAUGCUUCUGGAGAUUAGUCUCCAGUAAAAAACCUCAAUUAUUUCCAAAUAUCUAACACGAAGAUCAUGCCAAAAAACCAAAGUUUUCAAUAUCUUAAAAGUAUCAAAGAAAGAUCAAUCACGAAGAACCACGGAAAGAAGGUUGCGAACCUGUCGCAUCGUUGGCCUGUUUCCCGGAUUGCUAUCUAUGCAUCGCAGCGCCGUGACAAGCACUCUGGUGGCCUCCUCCGCGUUGAAAACUCCCUACAGCCUUGGAUCCACGACACCCAAGAGCUUCCCGGCCGCGUACUGCUCCUCCACCCAUGGCACCAGCAGCCAUGCGUUGUGAUCCUUCUCCUUGGAGCUCCCAAUCACCCGCCUCCCAGUCACAACCUCGAGCGUCACCACGCCAUAGCUGUAGACAUCCGACGCGGGCGUGAACUUGUAUGUGACCCCGACCUCGGGCGCGAUGUAUCCCAGCGUCCCCGCGAGCGUGGUGGUGCGUGAGCUCACGUCAUGGCUGGCUGUGCGCGCGAGGCCAACGUCGCCCAGCCUCGCGCGAAACUCUUCGUCCAGCAUCACGUUGCUGCAUUUCACGUCGCGGUGGAUGACCUGCUGCUCCCAGUCCUCGUGGAGGUAGAUGAGUGCGGCGGCGNNNNNNNNNNNNNNNNNNNNNNNNNNNNNNNNNNNNNNNNNNNNNNNNNNNNNNNNNNNNNNNNNNNNNNNNNNNNNNNNNNNNNNNNNNNNNNNNNNNNGUCGUAGACGAGGACGAGCUCGCGGUGGUCGCGCGCGCAGUGCCAGCCGCGGAGAGGGACAAGGUUACGGUGGCUGCGCUUGCUGAUGAUCUGGAGCUCCGCCAGGAACUCGCGCUCGCCCUGGUGCGAGUCCCGCACCAUCUUCUUGAUGGCCACCGGGGAGUUCUCGCCGGGGAGGAUGCCACGGUAGACCUUGCCGAAGCCGCCUGUGCCCAGGAGGUUGUGCUCGGGUGCCGGAGGUGAGCUGCGCUUAGGGAAUCUCGUGUGGCAGCGGCACAAGGUCCUUGGACGAGCUCUUCUUCUUCUUCUUCUCGGAUGGGAAGCCAAGUUUGCUCCAGGGAUUUUUGACAAGCCAGCUGACGACCGCGAGGAGCAGCAACGCGGCCAGGAACGCCAGGAGUGAUGCAGUGACGAUGAAGUAAACCUUGAAUCGAUCUUUCUACUUUCCACCAUCGACCACUGUCACUGGUGAUGGAGGAGGAAUCCUCUCCAAUCUGCUCGAGAAGUUCCAGGACAGGAUCCGGUGGAAGUCGAGGUUGGCGGUGCCAGAGCCGGCAGAGAAGCCCACGUACGAGACAUCGCUGACAUAGGCGCACAAAUUCACGCUGUGCUCCAGCACCGGGUCGCCCAAGUUCCGGAACGAUGGGUCGGAGGAGACGAACACUCGCAGCCUCUGCACGGCGGCAUCGUAAUCGAUUCUCGCCGCGACGGUACCGAUGCCAAGAGAGAUCCUCCGCGGAUAGAGCGAGCUCGAGUUCACGGACAGGAUCCCGUUGAUGUCGAGGCCGACGUGGUUGUCAUCGAUGUCCUGGAACUCGGGAUAGACUGGUGGAAAGUUCAUGAAAGUGUCGAAUUCCACCGCGACGAUGCGGUUGCUCGCGCGGCCAUUCGCGGCGGGAUCGAACAAGCCCAGCCAGCGGCCAUAGCCAGCGGAGGAGGUGGGGACGAGGUUAGGGGCGAUAGUGAACGCGAGGCCAUCGGCAUUGACCAGUGUGGAGUCGUUCUUGGUGAUGGCGAAGACGAACUCGGUGGAGAAGGAGGCGCCGGCGCCGGCGGAUGCGUUGCAAAGCUGGAUCUCCUGCUGCUUCAUGAUCCUGCCAUAGCUCGACAGGCGAUUGCCGGUGAGCCGGAGCUCGUCAUUGUUGAAGGUCGCGUCACCAGUGGCCACAAAAUCGUUGCGUGCCUGGGGCGAGAAGUUGCUGUAUGUGAAACUUACGUGAUCAUCAAGCGCUGCUGUUGCGCCUAGUGCCACGAUCGAAAGCACGAUCGCCAGAGCUUUGGCCAUUGGACCAACCAACGCUAGAAGAGCAAACUCGUGCGUGGUCGACACGGCUAGACCGAUCAUUUUAACCAGUGAGGCAGCGAGAGCUGUUGAAGCAUGAUUUAAUACUUUGAAGGAGGUCCGGGUUCAAUCCUCGGCCUGUUCAAGUCCAUUUUCCAUCGUCUCUUUUGUUAUCGGUACCUUGACAGGAUAGUUCCCGGAACUCGAGCCUUUUUUAAUUAGUGAGCAAUCUGUUAGUAACACUUUCGGUGGACGAUGUUUGGCCCAUACUCAUCGUAGUCUCCCUUGGUGAGAUGCUGGUUUUGAGGGAACACCACCUUGGCGAGGAUGGCGCCGCCAAUCCAUGCCGAGUAUUGCAGCGUCCGCUCUGGCAUGUACUCCGGAGGCUGCGAAAGCGGAGAGAAUGAGAAAGACGAAAGCCAGAAAAGUUUCACUGCUUCUUCUUUACCUUCACUACGGAGGGCCGCAAGGAGGGAGUUCCGUGAAGAGACACCUCCUUCUGAAAGCGAGCUUCAAAACCUGGGAAGUGCUUGGAAGGUGAGCUAGGAAAAAACGAGGAUGGAUUCUUGCCUUUCAUCGUUGAAGUGCCUCCACACAGCACAAUGUUCUCGAUCAGAGGCUUCUGGCAUUCGGCAGGAGAGCAGAGCGAAAGGCUUCUCACAAGCUGCUCCGUGAUCCCGUAUUCCUGGAUUUCCACAAGUGAUGGCUGAUAGAGCACCUCACCAAGUGUGUAUCUUUCACUUCCAACAGAAAUGACCUGUCCCCACAAACACGAGCUAAGAAAACAUACACAGCAGCAAAAGCUUACCCGACCGUCAGGUAGCGUGUGUUCUAUGACAGAUCCCUCAGCCACCUUCUUCUCGUAAUCCACAGAAUCGUCCAGACUCACUGCUACUGCUUCUUUGAUCUGCUCCAGCGCAAAACCAUCCAGCUUCGUGUGAGGAUUGGACUUGGCCAGCUUAGUCCCGAGGAGCUCUGUCAAGUCCUGUCCAGCGUACUCGAACCGCUUGACGGCGUUGUGCUGGAUUCCACCCUCCCACACGGGCGCAAUAUCUGCAGCGAAAACAAGUCUUGUGCACCAUUCGUUACAUUGUUACACAACGUUACCAGAGCCACUGUGAAUGAGUACCUAUUUUCCCAUGUCCGACGUCCACUGCACAGCCAGAGAUGCGUCCCACAGCAUACACGGACAGCACUGGUUGCUCCACGGCAUAGAAGCCAUUCACAUUGAAAGUUUCAAACAUAAGUUGGACGGUCUUCUCCCUUGCAAUCUGUCACAGAAAAUCAAGCAUGAGUUUCAAACAGUUCACAGAUGCCAUGACGAUGACAAGGAGUCCAAAAAAAAAGCGAAAACCAUGUCCAUGACUUGAUACAAAGAAGAAGUCAUGCAAAAAGAUAGAAGAACAAGGAUACCGAAAACCAUGUCUCCCUAGCUACGAGUGAACACAAAGAAGUCAGUCAUACAAAAUGAAAGAAAGAAGAACGAAGGAAACAAAGAAAGGACAAAAGAAAGAGGCUUGCCUUUCGUGUGAGCAGUGAGUCGGCAAUUAAAAUUUGGCCCUCGUUUCCAACCUCCCAGCCCAGGCCUGUGUAGAAAACAUACCUCCACAGGUCUUCCAUGGCUUCCCAGUCAUGGAUAGCUCCUCUCUCGAUGGGAUUCACGGCAUUCUCCUUCCAAUCGUCUCCAUUCAAGUCGAUCUUGUCGAUGUCGCCCUCGUCCGCCUUGGUCAUUGCCGUUUGCAUCACCUACAGGCGGAGCGCAAGCAUCUAAACCCAAUGUCGAUGGAUUCCUAGAGUGAUUACCAGCUGAGGAUCUUGCUCGGGGAUCGCGAAGCCGGCCUUGAGCAGCCUGGAGCCGGCGUCGAUCACUAUCGCCUCUGCUGCCAUAGCGGACAAGAACCCUAAAAUCUCUCGGUUUGCUUUAUAUCUCGCGUUCGAUUCUCCUGGCUAACAAAAAGCUAACGAAACUUCGUCGUUAGGCGGCCAUAACUAGAACUUUGAUGGUUCCCUGGCUAUUGGCGGCUAACAAAGUUGGACUGUCGCUCUUCCAACACACGGCGCUGAUGAAAUGCAAUGAGUCGUCUAAGCUUCCAAAUCGGUGUCGAGUUGCUGGUCUAGAAAUCGCCUGAAAAAAAAAGAGAAAAGUAUAAGAAACACUUCCGAAGAUGAGAAGAAAAAUUCGCAUUUUUACCUUGUGAUACACGAACACUUCGUUGGUUUCACUUCCACAGGUUACGUAGUCACUGUUACCGCUCAAACCAACGAAGUUCCUCUCGUUUAUAUGCCCAGUUAGCGUUCUAAUCUGCAUAGAAGCUAGAAGUUUAAAACAAGAGCUUCAAAACAAGAGCGAGCUUACCGGAGUGUUAGUUCUGACAUUCCAGAUCCGCAAGGUGCUAUCAGUCGAUGCGGACACGAGCUCCUCCGGCGUGAUGAACUUCACGUACGAGACGGUCUUUUGGUGGCCGCUAAAGGUGUGGACUGGCGAAGCAGGAGAGCGCAAAUCGUAGUAAUGUAUGCGGUGAUCGGCCGAUCCAACCUGCAAAUGCUUGGAAAUGAAUAAAACACCACUGUACCAAACCGAUAACUCACAAGAGAUAGAAAAAGAGUACCGC
Molecule: long non-coding RNA, 7054 nt
Filed under: Selaginella moellendorffii
Lineage: Eukaryota; Viridiplantae; Streptophyta; Lycopodiopsida; Selaginellales; Selaginellaceae
Description: long non-coding RNA (SMOE_LNC000970)
Source: RNAcentral